Molecule: ribosomal RNA, 498 nt
Filed under: uncultured bacterium
Lineage: Bacteria
Description: partial 16S ribosomal RNA
Rfam family: Bacterial small subunit ribosomal RNA
Source: RNAcentral
AUUGAACGCUGGCGGCAUGCCUUACACAUGCAAGUCGAACGGUAACAGGCCUUCGGAUGCUGACGAGUGGCGAACGGGUGAGUAAUACAUCGGAACGUGCCUAGUAGUGGGGGAUAACUACUCGAAAGAGUGGCUAAUACCGCAUGAGAUCUACGGAUGAAAGCAGGGGAUCGCAAGACCUCGUGCUACUAGAGCGGCCGAUGGCAGAUUAGGUAGUUGGUGGGAUAAAAGCUUACCAAGCCGACGAUCUGUAGCUGGUCUGAGAGGACGAUCAGCCACACUGGGACUGAGACACGGCCCAGACUCCUACGGGAGGCAGCAGUGGGGAAUUUUGGACAAUGGGCGAAAGCCUGAUCCAGCAAUGCCGCGUGCAGGAUGAAGGCCUUCGGGUUGUAAACUGCUUUUGUACGGAACGAAAAGCCCCGGGUUAAUACCCUGGGGUCAUGACGGUACCGUAAGAAUAAGCACCGGCUAACUACGUGCCAGCAGCCGCCGUAA